GCAGUCGAACGCUUCUUUUUCCACCGGAGCUUGCUCCACCGGAAAAAGAAGAGUGGCGAACGGGUGAGUAACACGUGGGUAACCUGCCCAUCAGAAGGGGAUAACACUUGGAAACAGGUGCUAAUACCGUAUAACAAUCAAAACCGCAUGGUUUUGAUUUGAAAGGCGCUUUCGGGUGUCGCUGAUGGAUGGACCCGCGGUGCAUUAGCUAGUUGGUGAGGUAACGGCUCACCAAGGCCACGAUGCAUAGCCGACCUGAGAGGGUGAUCGGCCACAUUGGGACUGAGACACGGCCCAAACUCCUACGGGAGGCAGCAGUAGGGAAUCUUCGGCAAUGGACGAAAGUCUGACCGAGCAACGCCGCGUGAGUGAAGAAGGUUUUCGGAUCGUAAAACUCUGUUGUUAGAGAAGAACAAGGAUGAGAGUAACUGUUCAUCCCUUGACGGUAUCUAACCAGAAAGCCACGGCUAACUACGUGCCAGCAGCCGCGGUAAUACGUAGGUGGCAAGCGUUGUCCGGAUUUAUUGGGCGUAAAGCGAGCGCAGGCGGUUUCUUAAGUCUGAUGUGAAAGCCCCCGGCUCAACCGGGGAGGGUCAUUGGAAACUGGGAGACUUGAGUGCAGAAGAGGAGAGUGGAAUUCCAUGUGUAGCGGUGAAAUGCGUAGAUAUAUGGAGGAACACCAGUGGCGAAGGCGGCUCUCUGGUCUGUAACUGACGCUGAGGCUCGAAAGCGUGGGGAGCAAACAGGAUUAGAUACCCUGGUAGUCCACGCCGUAAACGAUGAGUGCUAAGUGUUGGAGGGUUUCCGCCCUUCAGUGCUGCAGCUAACGCAUUAAGCACUCCGCCUGGGGAGUACGACCGCAAGGUUGAAACUCAAAGGAAUUGACGGGGGCCCGCACAAGCGGUGGAGCAUGUGGUUUAAUUCGAAGCAACGCGAAGAACCUUACCAGGUCUUGACAUCCUUUGACCACUCUAGAGAUAGAGCUUCCCCUUCGGGGGCAAAGUGACAGGUGGUGCAUGGUGGUCGUCAGCUCGUGUCGUGAGAUGUUGGGUUAAGUCCCGCAACGAGCGCAACCCUUAUUGUUAGUUGCCAUCAUUCAGUUG
RNAcentral lists this ribosomal RNA (1103 nucleotides) under Enterococcus faecium. RNAcentral describes it as "bacterial SSU rRNA". It matches the Rfam family "Bacterial small subunit ribosomal RNA", at positions 57 to 1133 of the family's 1533-position model. The record is from RNAcentral. Lineage: Bacteria; Bacillati; Bacillota; Bacilli; Lactobacillales; Enterococcaceae.